UGGGGAAUAUUGCACAAUGGGCGCAAGCCUGAUGCAGCCAUGCCGCGUGUAUGAAGAAGGCCUUCGGGUUGUAAAGUACUUUCAGCGGGGAGGAAGGGAGUAAAGUUAAUACCUUUGCUCAUUGUCGUUACCCGCAGAAGAAGCACCGGCUAACUCCGUGCCAGCAGCCGCGGUAAUACGGAGGGUGCAAGCGUUAAUCGGAAUUACUGGGCGUAAAGCGCACGCAGGCGGUUUGUUAAGUCAGAUGUGAAAUCCCCGGGCUCAACCUGGGAACUGCAUCUGAUACUGGCAAGCUUGAGUCUCGUAGAGGGGGGUAGAAUUCCAGGUGUAGCGGUGAAAUGCGUAGAGAUCUGGAGGAAUACCGGUGGCGAAGGCGGCCCCCUGGACGAAGACUGACGCUCAGGUGCGAAAGCGUGGGGAGCAAACAGG
Molecule: ribosomal RNA, 429 nt
Filed under: Fusobacteriota bacterium
Lineage: Bacteria; Fusobacteriati; Fusobacteriota
Description: Fusobacteria bacterium partial 16S ribosomal RNA
Rfam family: Bacterial small subunit ribosomal RNA
Source: RNAcentral